CUGGCCCUGAAUCAAGGCUGGCAGCUUCCUGAUGCUGUUGGUUUCAAGCAGGAGCCCGAAGAGAUGUCUUUCUAUGAUCUGUUGGCCAUUUCAGAACUUGGGCAGUGAAAUGGUCAAUUCAUUAGAAAGAGACAGUU
Small nucleolar RNA from Cavia porcellus (domestic guinea pig), 137 nucleotides. Lineage: Eukaryota; Metazoa; Chordata; Mammalia; Rodentia; Caviidae. The record is from Ensembl.